ACUGGAGGAUUGAGGAAACACCAUACAAUCAAGCAGUAACAGACACCAGGAGGAUCCUAUGAAUCUUCUGUCCUUGGAAGCAUGUUUCUGAGAUCCAUACAAUGAAGAAUUUCUAGGACCUGCAUGUAGAAUCCACAAACAAAAUACUGCCAUCCUAAGAAGAGUCACCUCCAAAUCAGAAAGUAAGGACAAUGGACCUAUCUUUUCCUCUGUAGCCUGCUUAGAAUUUACCUGCUUCCACCAUAGCAGCACUGCUUCCAACAUUGGCAGACGCACUUCGUGAAAGUCAGAUUGAAGCAAGUGAACUACCAUUGAAGAAGGAUUCAUCAUUUGCUCUGCAACAGGUGAACUACUGUUUGAGAAGUCAGGAUCUGCAGCCACUGAGAGCACAGAGAUUACAAGUUUGGUGAUACUCUGAAGAUACUGUGUGAAUCCUGGUAUCGCAGAGAAGUAGUGGAUACCUGUCAUCAGCUCAGAAGCUGAGAUAACCUUACUUAUUUCCUCCCAAAAGCCAAAUAACUCUAUUCCUGAAAUAGAAUGUAAAAUAAAUAAAUAAAUAAAAAUACAAAUUGAUAUUAUACAUGUAUUCUUGACAACUAAAGGAUUCUAUGUAAUUAAAAACCCUGAGGUUUGAAAAAAUGGCCA
This is a long non-coding RNA of Mauremys mutica (yellowpond turtle), 645 nucleotides long. RefSeq lists it as uncharacterized. The record is from RefSeq and is a predicted model, not a curated record. The transcript has 3 exons. Lineage: Eukaryota; Metazoa; Chordata; Testudines; Geoemydidae.